GUUUCAAGAAUUAAUUGUUCUAUAUAUAUAUAUAUAUAAAGAAAAGAAAAAAAACAGUUGCAAUAUUGUAUUUAGCAGAAAUACGUGAAUUAAUGCCUCCAGGUAGGCCUACACAAGACUAUAGUCCUGGACAAUUUGAAAACCAUUUCAGUCAAAGAAGAAAAAACAGAUGAGAUGUGUGCUAAGCUAGACACCAUGAAGUGACUGUAAUGGCAGAGAUGAAGGCUGAGAGAGGGAGUUUUGUGAGCGACCUGCGCAUGCUGAUGGGAGCUUAAAAUGGCGCAGACGUGACUCUGGCGCCCAGGGGCUCGGAGCAGUCAGCACAGUCACAUCUUGGCAGGGAGGAGCCCCGUCUUCGACGCCAUGUUGUGUUUCUUGCAUGUCACUUCACAACAUAGCUGCGAACACGGGGCUUCUUGCUGGCAUGUCGCAGAUUGAGCAUGCAGCCACUUAGCAGAGAACGCACCAAUGGAGUAGGAUUUUCUGAUGACGAGCGGUGACGGCGUGCUGUAAAACGGCGGCUGCCGAAUAUUCGGAAUGCUCCUUUAACGCCCUUCAUCUGUUGUUGUCUGCUAUUACGGCCCGCUGGAACAGUAUGGCACGCUUCAGCAGAGGGAAAACAGCCCAGAACUCCAUCUGCGUUCUUCGCAUCACCGAACACAACAGCAUUCACUGCAUAUAUCUGGCGACGGAAGGAACGUCAUAUAUUUUGAAAUAUGUUCGUAUUUAUUUAAACCCGUAGUUUUAAGUGUCUGGUAUCCGAGAAAUUGUUGAAAUUUAUUUUGAUAUCAAAAUACGUACAUCUCUAUACAAUGCAGCAGAACUACGUAAAAAUUAAAUUUUGAACGGAAAUAUGUGAAGGACACGCUACACGAUGCGAGAUUCAGUGUAGCCAGUACAUGAAACAAUUCGCCUGCGAAAGAUCGAUCCGUUUUCAAUGUAAUUUAUAUACACUACUUAUCUACAAAAAAAAUUAAUCAGAUUAAAAUGUUAGCCCUGAAUACUGUCAAUCUUUAUCUUCAGACAUGCAGCCAGUCAUUGUACCGCAACUGUUUUUUGUAUGUAUAGUGCAAAUGAACAUAAAAUUGAACGUAUCUGAGUUUGUCAAAACAGCUUUUCUUUCUGGGAUAAUUUACCGAUUCAUUCUGGUGUGUGACAAAGGAUGCUUUGAGUACCACAACUGUUUCAGCCUUUUCCUGUUCCAGUCGCGAAUGUGUUUUAGUCCCAUCAAAAUGUUUGAAAUCAACUGAAAAACUUCACACCCACAAGAGUAAAGUUUUCAUAUAUUUUAGCUAAAAGUAUCAGUUCCCAUUACGACUAGCAGAAGUGCCGUUGCAUCUUUCAAAUACUGAUUAUGAAAUUGCACUGUCCUCCUUUUCCAAAAAUCUGUCUCACAACAGUAGGGGACGAGAUCCUUACGCGCACUAGGCUUACUGUAACUCGGCAACCAGUCGAGAACUGAGCUGAAGUUCUGCCGUUUGUAUUGAUAUGCGUCCCAGGUGUCAGUGAUUUCUGAACGGAGGAUUCUAGAAUAUUUAGUAAGUAAAAGGCGGUCUCAGGUUAGUCCUCACCGAUGAUGCGAAAAAUAUCUUUAGAUUACUCGUCGAUUAAGAGCUCUGUCUGGUUUUUCGUCCUUUGGCAACAGACUGACGUUUGGCAGUCAUUACUUCCAGAAUCCACGCAACUCGUGGCGCCUUUAUUACCACCGAUUUAGAGCUGUCGCGCAUGCAGCGCACUAUGGCUUCAAUUGUUCUCGCUAUGUCCACAUGGUAUUAGUUAACUGCAGGAGCGUCAAUGGAAAGAUGCCAGAACUAAUCUCGCUUAUAAGCGGUAACAAUGCCCACGUAGUACUAUGGACAGAAAGCUGGGUGAAACCUAAAGCCAGCAGCAGUGAGAUUCUAAAUUCCGGUCGCAGCAUAUGUUGUAAAGAGAGGUCAAUCGCUGGUGUUUAAAGCAAUGAAAAGUAAGAUCACAUUAGAGAAAUUAGUGCAGAUCCCGAAUGUAAAAUAAUUUGUGUCGAGACAAGCGUUAAAAGUGAAUCAAACAAUGUAAUGGAAUGCUUCUAUCUACCCCCCCCC
Molecule: long non-coding RNA, 2078 nt
Organism: Schistocerca piceifrons (Central American locust)
Lineage: Eukaryota; Metazoa; Arthropoda; Insecta; Orthoptera; Acrididae
Exons: 4
Source: RefSeq, a predicted model, not a curated record